GUACACACCGCCCGUCGCUACUACCGAUUGAAUGAUUUAGUGAGGUCUUCGGACUGGUGCGCGGCAAUGCUCCGGCAUUGCCGAUGUUGCCGGGAAGAUGACCAAACUUGAUCAUUUAGAGGAAGUAAAAGUCGUAACAAGGUUUCCGUAGGUGAACCUGCGGAAGGAUCAUUA
Molecule: ribosomal RNA, 174 nt
Filed under: Dasymutilla heliophila
Lineage: Eukaryota; Metazoa; Arthropoda; Insecta; Hymenoptera; Mutillidae
Description: partial 18S ribosomal RNA
Rfam family: Eukaryotic small subunit ribosomal RNA
Source: RNAcentral